GAUGAACGCUGGCGGCGUGCUUAACACAUGCAAGUCGAACGGACAGGCCAUGCUUUUGUUGGGUGCUCGAGUGGCGAACGGGGGAGUAUCACGCGUGUAACAUGCCCUUGUAUUUGGGGUAAAUUUACGAAACUGGGGCUAAUACCGGAUAGGAGCUCCUGCAGCACGGUGGUGGUUGGUAAGUUUCGGUGGUUGGGGAUGGUCUCGAGGCUUAUCAGCUUGUUGGUGAGGUUGUGGCUUACCAAGGCUUUGACGGGUAGCCGGCCUGAGAGGGUGACCGGCCACAUUGGGACUGAGAGACGGCGCAGACGCCUACGUGAGGCAGCAGUCGGGAAUAUUGCGCAAUGAGCGGAAGCCUGAUACAGCAACGCCGCGUGCGUGAUGACGGCCUACGGGUUGUAAACCGCUUUCGCCUGUGACGAACCCUGAGUGACGGCAAUGGAUAAAGAAGCACCGGCUAACUACGUG
This 468-nucleotide ribosomal RNA is filed under the name uncultured bacterium. Its description in RNAcentral is "partial 16S ribosomal RNA". It matches the Rfam family "Bacterial small subunit ribosomal RNA", at positions 28 to 507 of the family's 1533-position model. The record is from RNAcentral.